Molecule: long non-coding RNA, 1539 nt
Organism: Peromyscus maniculatus bairdii (prairie deer mouse)
Lineage: Eukaryota; Metazoa; Chordata; Mammalia; Rodentia; Cricetidae
Source: RefSeq, a predicted model, not a curated record
AAGACAGAAACUUAGCAGCUGAGAGGAAGAAAUACCGUUCAGGGGACGGUUGGCCCCGCCUGGGUGCUUAUUGCAGUUUGCUCCUCCUCCUGAAUUACCAGUACUUCCGCGUGCUAUCCACACAGCCAGGCAGUGAUCUUUUGGAUAGGUGUGGCUGACUGGACAAAUGGGUAGAACGCCUGACUUACCACAGCUCCCAAUGCCACUCGAACAAAUGAAGAGGUGUUGGAGAGACGGGAAAGAUGGAGGAGCAAGAUUCUAGAAGUCUGAACCAACACUGGCUACUGAGUCAUGCUGAACCGGAUCUUCUUCCUUCACAUGGAUGCUGGCCUGGGUGGUCACAGAGAACCCACUCUUCGUUUCGCUAAUAAUCAUGAUCAGAGCAGUCACAAUUUGUUCAUAUCUAUUUCUCUUAAAAUAAUCUUACUUGAGGCAUACUCCUUAAGCAAAGAGCCCAGAGAUGUUAAAGUUGACAAAACAUUGAAAGCAAAUAUUUGAAUUUUAAAUGGCAAGUUGACAUUUCUCUGACAACCAAACCAGAAUCCACAUCACUGAAGAGAAAACGGACCAGUAAGUCAACAGCAGACAAUGUUGAAUUAUCACAGCUGUGUACUGGGUGUGAGCUAUGGGAAAUGGGACACACCAAUUGCUGAGUCAAAAUAAGGUUAUUUUCUCAGCGUCAGUCCACGAAUAAAAAGCUGAAAUCCACUUACCUAAUUUGUGUCAAUGUAGUGAAAAUUAAUCACAUAAAAAUCACAAUAAAAGCUGCUAGAAAUGGAUAUCAAUGAGUUUUUGGACAUGCAAUUUAGCAUGUCACCUUUGUACCACUUUAAUAUUAUUUAAAAAAUAAAAACCCAACCCUGCUGAGAAAUCUCACAAUGUCUUCUUUCACUCUCUAGAGUGUAUAUCAUUGAAGCCACCUAAUUUAUGGAAGACAUUGAAAUGAAGUGUACACUGGAGGGAUGGGCUCUAUGAAAGAUGGGCCCGCAGUUAAAGGCUAAGAGUAUGUGAAGAGAUUAAAAAAAAAAACAUUAAAGGCCCCUUUAAAAAGGAUAUGGAAACCUACUACUGUAGAAGCACAUGUAUGUAUAUAUGUAUGUUUAUGUGUGCUAUAUAUUUUUGAAAUAUUUUAUUAAAUUAAUAUAUACAUAUAUACGUAUAUAUUUAAAAUGAUGUUAUCCUAAUAAUAGGCAACAAUACCCUUACUAGACACCACAUGCUAAACCUAAAAAGGCCAGUACCAAGAAUGGUUACUUCUUUUGAGUUGUUGGACAGUGAAGUCCUAUACACCCCCAACCAAACAUUACAGGCUAUUGCCAUUGCUCAUGAUUGCCUUCCAGAGCUUGAAAGUAAAAUUCUACUGCUAAAGACACUACAUAUUUAAAUCACAGAACAUGGAGAAACAAAGCUGGUAUUGACCCAGAGGUUUCAUCCUACUGAAUAGCUUACAUUGUUCUGGAAAGGGCUAUAAAUGCUAUCAGAGAAGAAAAAUAAUCUUCAAUUAGACCCAGCUUUAAACCAUGCAAGUUACAAUCAUGG